UGCUGAAAGCAUCUAAGCACGAAACUUGCCCCGAGAUGAGUUCUCCCUGAGACUUUAGGUCUCCUGAAGGAACGUUGAAGACGACGACGUUGAUAGGCCGGGUGUGUAAGCGCAGCGAUGCGUUGAGCUAACCGGUACUAAUGAACCGUGAGGCUUAACCUUAC
This 164-nucleotide ribosomal RNA is filed under the name Salmonella enterica subsp. enterica serovar Saintpaul str. S-70. Its description in RNAcentral is "partial 23S ribosomal RNA". It matches the Rfam family "Bacterial large subunit ribosomal RNA", at positions 2769 to 2925 of the family's 2925-position model. Lineage: Bacteria; Pseudomonadati; Pseudomonadota; Gammaproteobacteria; Enterobacterales; Enterobacteriaceae. The record is from RNAcentral.